CUCCCCCUGGCCUCUGGGGUGCCCCUAACUGGGAUCCCUGCCAUGCACAUGACAGAUUCCCCCUGCGGCCUGACUGUGGCUCCAGGUUUCCAGAGAGGGUCCCCAGCCCGGCAGGACCCCCGUUCAGGUCCUAAGUCAUUUGUCGGCCAUGCUCUGUCCCCAGAACCGCAGCAAGGGGGGCGCUGUGAGCAAGCUGAUGGAGAGCAUGGCAGCCGAGGAGGACUUUGAACCCAACCAAGACUCGAGCUUCUCUGAGGACGAGCACCUGCCGCGUGGUGGGGCUGUGGAGCGGCUGCUGACCCUGGCCCCUCGCUCCUGCAUCAUCGACAAGGACGAGCUGAAGGACGGCCUGCGUGUGCUCAUCCCCAUGGACGACAAGCUGCUGUAGGCUGGGCACGUGCAGACCGUGCACUCGCCAGACAUAUACCGCGUGGUGGUGGAGGGUGAGCGUGGGAACCGGCCCCACAUCUACUGUCUGGAGCAGUUGCUGCAGGAGGUGGUGAGAGGGGGAGGGGUGGGGCCUCGGGAGGCUUGGGGUGGGCUGGGUGUCCAAGGCCACGGCCACAACUGUGUCCACACCUUGGACUCAUCCCAUGCCCUCCUAGAUCAUCGAUGUGAGGCCAGCUGCCACUCGCUUCUUGCCACAAGGGACCAGGAUUGCAGCCUACUGGAGCCAGCAUGGUCCGAGGUGCUGAGCCAUCCCCGGCCCUCCUGGUGCCAAGUGCCAAGCGCCGCAGCCGGAAGACCAGCAAAGACACUGGGGAGGGCAAAGAUGGUGGCACGGCUGGGUCGGAGGAGCCAGGAGCCAAGGCCCGUGGGAGUGGGUGGAAACCCAGUGCCAAGGCCAGGGGUGGCCCGGUCCCCAGGGCAGGGGCGGUGGGCGGAGCUCCUUCGUGCAUCCAAACUCCGGGCUUGGGAACCUGUCGAAGUGCCUGCCUGCUGUCUGUAAGAACUCUGAGCCGAGUGCGGUGCCUCACACCUGUAAUCCCAGCGCUUUGGGAGGCCAAGGCGAGCAGAUCGCCUGAUGUCAGGAGUUCAAGACCAGUCUGGCCAACGUGGUGAAACCCCGUCUCUACUAAAAAUAUAAAAAUUAGCCGGGCAUGGUGGUGAGUGCCUGUAAUCCCAACUACGUGGGAGGCUGAGGCAGGAGAAUCGCUUGAACCUGGGAGCUGGAGGUUGCAGUGAGCCAAGAUCGUGCCAUUACACUCCAGCCUGGGCAACAAGAGCGAAACUCCAUCUCAAAAAAAAAAAAGAGAGAGAGAGAACUCUGCACCUGCACUGCAGGGCCGUUCUGACCAGGUGAUAGAUGAGGAAACUGAGGCUGAGGGAGGCAGGUUGGUUUGUCAGAGGCAGAGCUGAGCUGCAGCUGGCCUGUGUUUCUUUCCAGAAUCCAGAGAAAAAUGCUUCGUGCAGGCUGAAAAG
RNAcentral lists this long non-coding RNA (1422 nucleotides) under Pan paniscus (pygmy chimpanzee). Its description in RNAcentral is "lncRNA (ENSPPAG00000044163.1)". The record is from RNAcentral. Lineage: Eukaryota; Metazoa; Chordata; Mammalia; Primates; Hominidae.